AAGAAAACGGCGGCGAUGGUGAGGAUUAGGACUAAGAUAGUGACGAUUUUGUAGCAGUUGUCGGGUACCCAUGCGGAGAAGUCGAGGUUUUUGGGUUCAGACAAUCUGUUGGGUUGAACAGUGGGGAGCUUUCUGAUCUGGGGAGGUUUUGGAGACUUAGGAACUGCACGGUCUUGGACCAACAUUUGAUCUUUUCUUCUUAGAUAGAUUCUUCCAAACCUAAAUUCUUGCUAGAUCUUCACUUUUGCUCCUUAAUCUCAGCUUCACUCAUAGAUUCCCCAAUUGCAUUUCUAUUUAAUUUGCUGUUUCUGUUGUGUAAAGAAGAGGGAAAGAAACAGAAAGACAGUCACCUUGGACUCUUUUUAAUGACCUCUGCCGACAGCUACAAGCGAACACACACAACCGGGUUUCGUAGGCUUCAACGUAAAUUUUUAGCAACUGAUGAGUGGUAGUUUGGUGGGUCGUUGUCCUGUCUUCUUCUGCAAAUAUUUUAGGAUAAAAUACUAUUAUAGUAAGUAGUAUAUUAUUCAACUCAUUCCAUAUUCAUCACUUAAUUAAUUUUUUUAUUAAUUAAUUUUCAAAAUUAAAUAUUUUUGGGUUUGUUUUAAUGGAUGUAAAAGUAGUUUUAUUUUGUUCACCUAAUACUAAAUUUAGUUUUUCAAUAUUUAUAUAUUAUAUCAAUUUAAUCUUAAAUUUAAAAAUUUUAUCAAAUUUAGUCAUCAACGUUUACAAUAUUUACCAUUUUAGUCCUUAUUAUAAAAAUUGGAUAAAAUACUUAAAAAUCUUUAAAAAUUUUAAUAAGUAAAUAUAAAUAUAUGUUUAAGAUUUUUGUACACAAAAUUACUUUAAACAAUAUCUUUCACUUUGUUCUUUCUUUCAUUCAAUUGAUAAAGUUAGAAAUAUCAAAUACAAUGGCCUUGACAUGUAAUCUCUCUCCAAUUCUUGGGUUAGAAAUGAUAAAAAGAUGAAAACACUAUAGCCCAAAACUAGUAUUAUAUAUGUAGCAAAGAGUAAGACCGUCGAAGUGGGUGUCAUCAACUCAUAUAGCUAAAGAAAAAAGGGGACUAAAUUAAAAGAGAUUGAAUAAAAAAUAGCUUUAAUUUAUGGAGUUUUCACAUGUUUGAUUGAUAAGAAAAUGAGCAUGGUUGGUAAGAAAAAAAAGAGGGUAAAUGAUAAUCUAUAAUAGAACCAUAAUCUUUAAGCAAUUCAACCCAUCUACAUAGUCUCAAGUUUAGUUCCUUUUAAAUAAGCAUAUACUUUAAACUUUAAUGAUUAGUGAAGACAUGACACUUCUCACCAUAUAAGUAAUGUCUCCCAAUCAUUAAGAAAAAACUACUAUUGCAUGCUCUAAUUCAUGAGUAAGAUCAUUCUUCUCGUGUGACUUGAGUUGUUGUGAAGCAUACACAACUCCUUUGCUCUCUGGCAUUAAUACACAACCUAGACCAUUGUGAGAUGCAUCACUAAAUACUAAAAAUUCUUUACUAUACUCAGGUUAUGUCAAAACAAAUGCUUUUAUCAACAUUGCCUUUAAUCUCUCAAAACUCUACUGACACUUAUUCGACCAUUCAAACUUAACAUUUUUUUUGCAGUAACUAGGUCAAACAAGAAGCAAUUAUCGAGAAUCAUUUUAUAAACCUCCGAUAAUAUCCGGCUAAAUCAAGGAAACUUCUUACUUUAGUGACAUUUUGUAACACCCCAUAUUCAACCCGAUCAUCGAGUCUGAGCUACAAGAUGUCAUAUUCAUUGCUGGAGCAACUACAAUCACAUUUGCAAUUCAAAUAAACAAUUUAUGUGUUAUUUUAAGCUCAAUACAUAAUUGUAAAAUGUUAUAUAAUUAAAUUCAAGAUAUAAACGAACUUAUGAAAGCUCUUUUGAUAAAUCGAGGUUGGUUGAGGACUAAAAUAUAACAUUUUUAAAAUUCUCAGGUUGGUGUCGCGAUGUCGAAGGUAUCACGUCGCAACUUUGACAAAACAAUAAGUUUCAUCAAGACAUCGGAGAUCCAUGGCCACGACACCACUUUUUAUCGAUUUCACAUUUCAAUGUUGAAGGUCUGUCCUUAGGACGUCACCUACUAUUUUGCACAAUAUCCAUUAGGAACCAAUUCACAACAACUUACAAAAUGACCAAUUCUAUACCUAUUCCAUUUAAGCAAAGUACACACUUUCGAGCAUAUAAUAUGCCACAAAUCAAACAAGCAUUUCUAAUCAAAAUUUACCAAUUUGACUAUUCCAACUUAAAAUCGACUCAACAUAUGUUACCAUUUGCAUAUUUCAACCAUUUCAACCUUAUACUAAUCUCAUGAAUGCAUUUAACAAUUCAUAUGCUUGGGACUCGAAAUAACAUUACCAAUUUAAGAUUCCAAAAUGACUAUUUACAUUACAAAAGUGACUCAAUGUAACAUCCUAUACCUAGUCCGAUCACCUAACCCGAGCUAUAAGGUAUUACAGUUGUAAAGCAUUUCUAUCAUAUAAAGAUUCGACAAAAAUAACCAACAAAUCUAUUAAACAACAUUAACAACAAUAUGAUGUGAUUUGCAAUCAAAACCGAGCAUUAAUUUAACAUAUAGGACCUUUAAAAAAACUUGGAAUCAAAUUAUGACUAAACUGAAACUUUUGUAAAAAUUCAUGUAAUACCCUAAAAAAAUUUUUUACAGUAAGAUAUUAUCUUUGAUAUAAUAAAAUAAGGAAAUAAAGAAACAAAAAGGGGAAAUUUUGGAGUUAUGCCAACAUUGGAAAGUAUAUUAUGACAUAUUAGUUCAAGAAAAGAUUAAAUCGCAAAAGUGAGAAAAGUUUUGUUGCCCAAGAGUAAAUACUCAAAAAUUGAGAGGUUCAAGUGUAAAUAUGAAAAAUAUGAAGGACCAAUGGUGUAAAUAUUUUAAGGGUGGAAUGAUCUAGAAACUAAGGAAAAUGGAUGGAUUAGGACCAAGUUGAAAAAGGUGAAGAAUUUUGAGGGACUAAAUCGCAAUUUUACUAAAUUAAGUGAUGACUCAAGAAUGGAUUUUUAAAAGAUCAUAAGGGCAAAAUGGUUAAUUAAAAGAGAGAGAAAUCUAGAAGAUAAUGAUGAUGUUGGAGAUAUUUUAUAUUAAAUAAAUAAAUAAAUAAAUAUUAGUUUAUUAGUAUUUUAAUUUAAUUUUUAAAUAAUAUUUUAUUAUUUUAUUUAGUAUAUAUAUAAGAAAAGGAAGAUGAAGAAUGAGGGAACCCACUAUUUUGCCAUGCACCAACGUGAGAAAAAGAGAGAAAGAAAGAAAGUUUUGCUUUCUUUACAAUUUGGUCCUUCCACCAAAAAUUCACCAUUUUCAUAUAGAAAUCAAAAGAAUUUCCAUAUCCAUUAAGAGAGAAAGAUAACAAGGAGACUAUGGGGAGCUAGAAUAUCAAGUUAGAUUCAAGAAAUAGAAGCUGGAGGAGAGAGAAAAUCAAGUUAAAGAUUGAAAUCAAUAUGACAAGGUAAGAACAUUAAGAUUUUAAUAUAUUUUUAAGUUUGAUAUUAUUGAAAAAGUAUGGAAAUGAUGUUAAUGUAAAGUUUUCGUAUAUAUGGUCCUAUGUUCUUGAUAUGUUAGUGAAGAGAAAAUAAGAGAAAGUGAUGAGAAAUAGUGUAGCAAAAGAAAAAAAGGGUGUUAUAAACAUGAUAAUAAACAUCUUGCACUAAAACAGUUUUGGACAGCAACAGUAGGUUAACUUUGAAAAAUCACCAUAAAUUAUGGAAAUUUAAUUAGAAGAGGAAAAAAAUAUGAAAUUAAAUCUUAUUAAGUCCAGUUUCUUAUAGAAGAAGCGGUGUAAGUAAUGAAAUUGUAAAACAUGAGAUAUAAUAAAUUUUGUGAGACAAGGUCAGAAUGAAUUCGGGUUCCCCUGUUCUAACUUUGGAAAAUCAUAAAAAAUUUUAUAAAAAUAAUUAGAGGCUUAAAUUUAUAUGUUUAAAAUCAUGAAUUAUUAUAUUUUAAAUAUAAAUAAACGGUAACAUCAUCUGAAUUCUGUACAAAGAGAUAAUUAAUUUUUAGUGAAAAGGGGUCGGAACUGUCAAACAGUGAAAUAGGGGAAACUUUAAAGAAUAAAAUGUACUUAUUGGCUAAACAAAAAAUUCUGAAAAUUUUAUGGUAAUAAGAUAUGUGAGUAUAGUUUCAUAAAAAAUUUACAGAUCUCAAUUCGGAAUUCUGUAGCUUAAGAUAUAAUUAAUUUAGUGACUAUGAUUCAAGUGAACAACUUGUUAUGAGUAAAUAAGUAAAUAGUGGUAUCAUGUAUAUAUUAAGGAUGUGGAAUGGAGUGAAGGAGGAGGAAAAAUAUAUGUGAAUAUUCUGAUAAUAUGAUUUAUUGUAAAAAUAGCUAAUUUACAUGUUUUAAGUUUAGGGACUAAAUUGAAUAAAAGUAAAAUUUUUAGGGUAAUUUUGUAAAAAUGGAAAAAAUGACCAAAUUUCAAGAAAUGAAUAGUUUUAUCGUCUAAAUUAAUAAAUUUAAUGAAAUUAUUAAUUUAAAUCAAAAUCGCGUGAAAAGUCGAGGAAAAUGGAAAAUUUCCAAAACGCUCAUGUAUCAUGAUAUUUAUGCAAUUUAGCCUAGUAAAUUUACAUUACUGUAAUUCAAAUCUAAGGCUGUGUUUGAUUGGCAGAAUUGAUUUUUCAGAAAAUCAAUUACAAGUUUUCCAGUGUUUGAUUGGCGGAAAACAUUUUCCUUUUGGAAAAUCAAUUCCGCAACACGGGAAAUUGGGUUACAUUUUAGGGAAAAUGUCUUACCCUUUCAAUUUCCGUAAGACAUUUUCCCUGCUCUCCUGCCUUCUAAUACCUUCAUUCCUUCCAUCAUUUCCAGUAGAAAAAGUGCUUUUGUCGACUGAUUUUCCACUAACCCCCCACAAGAAGUCCUUCAUUCCUUCAUUUCCUCAGUUCCCAGUGGCAGAUUAUCACAGUUUUCUUUCAUUUCCUCGGUUCCCUCUUCUCCGGCUGAUUCAGUUACCGAUCCAAACGUUCUCUCCGACCACCAUUUAUUUUUGCUAUCUCCACUCCAAUUUCUGUCAGAUCUGUGGGAAAUUUCAGGUAACCUUAUUAUUAUAGACAUUAUUUGAUUUUUUAUGGUUUUAUUUUCAAUGUCGAAAAAGACUUGCUGGGUUUGUAUUUUCUGUCCCGAUAUUAGUGCAUUGUUCAGUAAUUGUAAAAGGGUUUUAGGUUUUUAUGCACAAAAAUUGGGUAAUGCAAGGUAAAUAAUAAAUAUGCAGAUCAGUAAUGUCUGAUCCUGCAAAUUUUCGUUGUUCCAAAAGGGAGUAAGACUGAUGUUGUCUUAGCUUCUAUUUUGAAAUCAUACCUAUGGAAUCAUUGUCGGUUGCUCACCUUAAUAAUAAAUAUGCAACUUAAGGAUAAAAAUUCUGAUAUAGUAUCUGAUUUUAACAAAUAGUUAUUAGAUUUAGGUGAUGGAAGAAUACCUAAUGUCGCACUAGAGGUUAAUGUAGAUUCCCCAACCCAUUACCAUACCAUAUUGAUUCUUAAUCCCUUAACGACUGAUUCAGUUUGUGUAAUAUUUGGCUACAUUUAUCUAGAACUCGAGGAAAAUUUCAAUAACACGACAUACCUAAAGGAUUAAGCUAUAUUGUCAACUACUAAUGAAGUGGUAAACAAGGUGAAUGAUUUUGUGCUUCUGAGGAUUCCAGGUGAAUCUAGAACAUAUCCCAGUUCAGAUAAAAUUUAUCCUGCAUCUGGAAAUAUUGAAGAACAAUCCCUUCUGUAUUCAUCAGAAGUCCUGAAUUCUUUGAAAUUUACUGUGUACCUAGUCAUGAGAUUUUUAGUUGAAAGUUGGGGUUCCAAUAAUGUUAUUGAGAAACAUUAACCGAAGUGUUGAUUUAUGUAAUUGUACUGAAUUGGUUGUGACAAAAUUGGGAUCUAGGUUUUUAUUAUUAUGUUGAAACUAUUACUAGUAGUAGUGUCGGGCAACAUUGUUUUAUUCCUCGAGUAGAAGUUUCACCAUCCGGUUCAAAAUGGCCUUCCAAUUUCAGAAGAAGGCAAUUUCCAAUAAAAGUUAUGUUUUCUUUUACAAAAAUUUUCUUUCCUCUACUGCAAAAGUUUUUGGAUUUUUUUGGAUAUCAUGUCUGAUCCUGCUAUAUUUUCCUUUUGAGAUUCCUUACGCGACCCUACUUGUCUGCAAACAAUUAGCAUUCAAUCAUAGAUUGCAAUUUUCUUCUGUUUGAAGCAUGAUUCACACCAUAUAAUACAAGUAUUGAUAUAUUGUAAUUUCAAUCCAUUAAAUUAAACCAUUAAUGAUUUGUGUUUGAUUUUUUAUUGCUCCUAACGGUUCUAAUUUCUUUCUAUGCUUGACCUCCAGCUGUAUAGUUCUUGCUGUCCUAUCCUCUACCUCAGCAUUCUUACUCCUGUUGGUGGCCUUGGUUGAUAUUUUCAUAAGAGGUUGGUCCAAGGUUUUAUCUUUGGAAUGUCUUCUUUCUUGGUUCUGGUCUGCCAAUGGCAUGGCAUUUGUGGUUGUUAUAUGUUUGUGGUGUGCUUGAUUUAUGAUUUUGUAUAAUAUGCAUUUGUGGUUGUUAUAAUUCGGUUCAAGUGAAUUAAGCAUGGUUGUUGGAUGUGUUUGGGUAUGGUUUAUUAUUGAUUUACAUUUUGACUGUAAUUUGUUUACGUAUUACUUGGGAAAUGACAGUGAUGAGUUGUUAUAUUUGGUUGAUGGUAGGUAAAUACAUAUGUGCGUAUGUCAUGAAUUUUGGUAAUUUUGGCAUGAUUUAUAGCAUAUGGAAUUGGCAUUGAAAAGGUCAAGCUUUAGGUUGUUAUUAUUAUGUUGUCAGUGGUAAUAUGCAUUUGUGGUGCAAUACAAGCACAGAAGCUGCUAUUAACCAACAAGACAGCCGAUAACCAAUGGGGAACAGUAUAAGUUUAUGGGAACAAGGACCUUUUCCCAAGUUUCCAUGUUAUAGAUUUAAAUAUAUGUAGUAAUAUAGAGUUUAUGCCAAGGAAUUAUGUUUUUUUCUUUAAAAUAUAAGGAAAUGUUGUUUAAAUAUUACACAUUGAUAUCAAUUUGGAAGUUUAGGUGUGAUAAAUAUUCAUUUGCUAUCUGAAUUCAAACAUGCUAAAUUUCCAUGAAAGAGAUUGUAGUGAAUAUACAGUAUGAACAGGAGGGAAAUAAUUCAUGCACCCCACCAUUUUUUUCACAGUUCAAAGACUCAGAAUUAAAGAAAAGAUGAAGUUAGAAAUGGGAAAGUCUCAAAACUUUUGCAAAUGACAGAUGAACCAAAAUCAAAUUUGUUUUUAACUUUUCAAGUAGAUUUUGAUUUAAGAAAUCAAGAAGCUAGUAAUAACUCAUCUAUAUAGGCAUCUUAGGGACUGAUAUUUUUGUUAAUUAUGUCUAAAAUUUUAACUGUAUUUAUUGUUAUCUAUAUAGCAAUUGUAGCAGUGCACUUAAACAUUAUUUAUUUUUUAUAAAAAGUAAUCAAUUUUUAAUUUAAAAAAUUAUAAAAAAUAGAAAUAAAAAUAAAUUUAUAACAUUGUCAAAUUUUUUGUUUAUAUCGAAAUAAAAAAAGAAAACACACUUGAUAGCAAUUAUAAUUUAAAAUUUUUUUAUAUUUUAAAAAAGAGGCAUCACCAUUUUUAAUAAUGUUUUUGCAAUAAAAAACAAUACUUAAAUAAUCAAAUUUCUGUUAAUGUAUAUUUUUUAUAAAUAAUAUUUUAAAUAUUAAAGUAUUGUAUUAACUAUGAUCAAUAUUUUUUAAGUCAUGGUAACUUUAUAAAUACAUGAUCAAUAUGUUAAUGUAUAUUUUUUAUAAAUACAUGGUAACUUAAAUAAUAAAAAUAUUUUUUAUAAAUACAUGAAAGAUAACCUAAUAAUAUAUAACAAAAUCUUGCACCAAUUGAAGUAUUGUAUUAACUAUGAUCAAUAUAUUUUAAGUGCUACUUUCAAAAAAUUAUUAUUGAGCAAUUAUAAUUAGCUUGAUAUGUAUGUAUGCACUUUUUUAGUCAUGGUAACUUUAUGUGAUCUUAUGAAAAUCUUGCAUCUUUUGUAGUAGUGAUCAUAUAUUUGUGUGGCAUUAUUUUGUGUAGAUGGAUCGUAAUCAACAUCAAAUGGCAAUUGUCGGAGUUGUGGCUUCAGUUUUAGCUUUUGGAGCUCUUUGGAUUAAAAAAUUAGAAACUAGGAAGGAAAUUGCUUCUCGCCCUCGUGUGAAUCGAGAUUAUGAAAGAGAAAACUAUAUUAACAGUAUUUUAUAUAGUGGUGACCAGCAUUGCAUUGAUGUGAUAAGGAUGAGACCGAUCGCCUUUUUUAAUUUAUGUGAUAUUCUUAGUACGAAUAAUUUGUUACAAUCAUCUAAAUCUGUCGAUAUUAGGGAGCAAGUAGUUAUAUUUUUACAUAUAAUUGGUCAUAAUGUAAGGUUUCGAGUGAUUGGAUCUAGAUAUUAUAGAUCAACUCAGACAGUUCACCAUUACUUUAGGGUUGUACUGAGAGCUAUUUUGAAAUUGUAUAGACUAGUUAUUAGAUUACCUGAUGAGUCAACUCAUAGUGAAAUUAUAAAUAAUCCAAGGUUUUAUCCUUAUUUUAAAGAUUGUAUUGGAGCAUUAGAUGGAACUCAUAUUCGUGCAUCCGUUCCACUUAGCAUGCAAGGAAGAUUUCGUAGCCGUAAAUGGGGGAUGACACAAAAUGUAUUGGCUGCCAUUACAUUUGAUUUGAAAUUUUCCAAUGUUCUAGCUGGUUGGGAAGGUAGUGCACAUGAUUCUCGUAUUUUAAGUGAUGCACUUUCACGCCCAAGAGGAUUAAGAAUUCCGGAAGGUAAUAUUUAUCACAAAUAGUUCUAGUAAGCUCAUAGUUUAUUAGUAUUAACUAUGUAUUGUAAAAUUGUAGGUAAAUAUUAUCUUGCUGAUGCUGGAUAUGGCAUCUGAAUUGGAUGUAUUACCCCAUAUCGUGGUGUCCGAUAUCAUUUAAAAAAGUUUGGUGCUGAAGGGCCUGAAAAUGCAAAGGAACUCUUUAAUCUUCGCCAUUCAUCAUUACGGAUCACUGUUGAACGUGUUUUUGGGAUUUUGAAAAAACGGUUUCAUGUAUUAGAUGCUGAACCAUUUUGGAAUUUUCAAACUCGAGUAGAUAUAGUUUUGGCUUGUUGUAUCAUUCAUAAUCAUAUAAUGGGAGUUGAUCCUAGUGAUUUACUUAAUCAAGGAUUAUACGAGGUGUCUGAGUCUGAUUCGAUAAUACAAACUCUCACGGAGCGAGAAGAAAGACAAGAAGCAAGAGAGAGAUGAAAUUGCACAAACUAUGUGGACUGAUUAUAUGGCUAGAAAUAUUAGGUAGAUUUAGGGCUUAGGGUUAUUGUUUCUAUGUUAUGUAUGUUUUAGUAUAAUUUUCUUUUUUUUUUUGUAAAUGUUGGUUGGAUAAUGAUAUUGAAAUUUUAGAUUGUUGGAUUUUGAUAUAUGUCUUGAAUUUGUUAGAUAUUGAUUAUGUUUUAACCUUGUUGGAUAUUGAAUUGAUUAUUAUGUUUUAAGCUUGUUGGAGAUUGAAAUUAUUGACAAUGACAAUUAUUUAAUGUAGAAUGGGUAAGGGCAACAAAGAAGGGACCUCCAAGCAAUUCAGGUGGACAAAACCGAUGGAACAUGUUUUCCUUGAAAUUCUAGCAGAGGAGGCUCGAAAAGGAAAUAAGCCUUCUAAUACUUUCAAAUCAGUUUCUAUUAAUCGAGUUGUCGACGCCAUUUCUGAAAGAUUCCAAGUCCAAUGCGAUGUGAAGCAUGUGGAAAAUCAUUUGAGGACAGUAAAAAACCAGUGGCAGAUUAUAUGCAAAAUUCGAGGUGAAAGUGGUUUUGGAUGGGAUGAUAACAUGAAAAUGAUCACAUGUGAUAGAGCGACAUAUGAUGCAACAGUGAUGGUAAUAUAUGACUAUAUAUGUUAAGUAUAUUUCAAUUGUUUUUUACUUGUUAUUCUAAUUGUGUAUAAUAUCCAACAGGCACACAAGAAGUAUGAACCAUUUCUGAAUAAAAGCAUUGAUCAUUAUGAUGAAAUAGCUUUGGUUGUUGGCAAAGAUAUGGCAACAAGGAGUUUUGCCAGAACAUUUGCUGACCUAGAUUUGGAUGAUGGUAAUGAAGAUUCAAUGCCUGUAGACUGCGACAAUGAAGAGGCUGAAGAGGUAAGAACAAAUGUAUAUUCAUCUGGCACAUCCAAACGUAAAAGAAAAAGUGGUCAAGAAAGUCUCGUUGAUGAACAAAUUAAAUUUAUGGGUGAACAACUUGGCAAAAUUGCUAAUGCUUUGGAACAAUUUACUGUCGAUAAGACAUCACAGCUUUACGAACAAGUGAUGUCGAUGGAGGAAGAAGGAUUUGAUGAUGACUUCUUGUGUUUUGUGUUUGAUUAUCUAGUGAGUCGUGAAUCAGAGGCCAAAGCUUUUUUAGUUAAAAGUAAGAAGCAUAGAAAAAUUUGGCUUCAAAAAUUUUCUCAGGGUUGAAGAUAUUGAUACUUUUAUGUGGUGUAAUAUUAUGCACUUGGACAAUGUUGUUACUAUGUGGUGUACUACUAAUUAUGUAUUUGGAUAAUAUUAUUUCUAGUACUCAUUGUGGUUUCGAAGCAAUUUAUAAUUAUUCAAUAUUAUUUCUAGUACUCAUUGUGGAUAAUAUUUUUUCAAUUUAUAACGAUCAAUAUUGUAGCUUAAUAAUUGAGUAUUAUUAUAAAUAAAUCAUUGCAAUAUAUGUAAAAACAAUUUAAAAUAUAAAAAUUUAUUAAUAUAUAUUAAUAUAUGUAAAAAACAACUUUUUCGGAAAAUAUUUUCAGGAAAUCUGUCAAACAGCAGAAAAUAUUUUACACAGAUUCAAUCAAACACCAGAAAAUAUUUUCCAGUAAAUCAUUUUACAAAAAAGUAAAAUAUUUUCCAGAAAUCAUUUUACGGCAAACAUUUUACUGCCAAUCAAACAGACCCUAAUUAUUAUUAAUUAUUGUGUUUUAAUUGAAAUGCAUGGUAAUUAAAUGGAAAUUGCUAGUGAUAUGAUUUGAAUUGUGAGCAUGAGAAAUUGCGAAUUGAAUGAAACAAAAAUGAAGCAUUGAAUUGCAUGAGUAUGUAUCGGGUCUCGUAAGCCCUAUUUAUUAUGAAUAUAAUAUUUUGAGGAUAUAUUGUGAGAAGUUAUAAAAGCAUGUUAACAAAUUUGAAAAUUAUUAAUUUAGAUGAAAUUUUAUAACUCGGUUAAAUACGUUUACAAGUGUAUGUGUUCUAAUAAUGCCUCGUGCCCUACUCCGGCGUCAAAUACGGGUAAGGGGUGUUACAAUUCAGGUAAAAAGUGUAGUCCCUAACAUGGUCGUGUUGUCUAACUGUGUAAUAGAUUUAAACCGUGUACUCUUGGGACACACGAUCGUGUCACCAGACCGUGUAACUAACUGAGGUCGUGUGGACAAACCUGCACCAAAAUUAAACAGGCCAUAUGGUCGUAUCAAUCAAUCGUGUGUGGCACAUGACUGUGUGGCAGGCCAUGUCACAGGCCAUGCCACUUAUAAUCGAGUCAAAAUAAGUAAACAGUUGCCGAGAAAAUUGACGAAUAGUGUGAUCUCCAGAAACGAUCAAAUCGACAACUCGAGCCUGACAAUCUACAAUGAAGAAAACGAAAUGAGAUAAGCUUACAUAAAACUUAAUAAGUUCGUAUAGUUAAAACAUCACAUACCUAUCAUUUUAAGCAUUAACUAGAAUUUCAUGCCUUGUUUCACAUUUCCUACCAUAUCAAACGGUUAAAAAUGUACAUAUAAUAUUAAAAAAGAUAUCAAGAUACAUGAUUCACGUAUCAAUUUACAACCAUUACAUGUAUUUAACCAUUCAUGCCAUGAACUUUAUUUCGAAACAUUCCAUUAAUCGUUUUGCUCGGAGAACAAUAGCAAAUUAACUUUGGAUACACGAGAAUAAUGCUUACACGAGUUGAUCAUCAGAAAUGCUGCUCAUACAAGCUUACAAGAACUGCAACAAAUACUAGAUUCCAACCAUCGGUAUGGUAUCCACCACCUGUACAUAGUACCUGGAAAUAUAUCCCCAGCACAAAGUGCCUAGAAUUGUAACAUUGGUACAUAGUACCUGGAAAUAUAUAUAUCACCGGCACAAAGUGUCUUGACCUGUAAUCAUCGGCACUUACUGCUUGGAACACCCUAAUGACAUGUCAUUUGUAUCCUAGCUAUUCAUUGAGUUCACACGAACUUAACUUGUAUACCUUAACCUUUUCAUAAUUAAAACCUCAUACAAUGAUCAACUUGAUCUCAAAUAUUCCAUAUAAUAACAUAAUUCAAUUCAAACAAGUAAAAUUACCAUGCUUUACAUUUCAAACCUUUGUUCCACCAUCAAACUUACCUUAAUUAACUAUGCCCAUUAUACAUACAUACUUAUACACAUAUAUGAUUAGAAUUCAAAACAUCAAUAAGUGUAACAAAUUUACUACGAAUUUACCUAAACAUACAUAAUUUACUAAAAACGGAUAAAGAAAUCACUUACAUGCAAGAGUCUUGUUGGCUGAACUUAAGAAGCUUUAACGAUGGGAUUUUGAAGCUUAUUUUCUGUGGUAACCUUAAGAAGAUGAUGAUUCUUUUCUUUUUGUUUUAUUAUUUAACAUAUAUUAUUAUUAAAUAAAUAUAUUUUAACAUAUGAAAUGCUUGAUGACAACCCAUUAACCGUCCACUUAGACUAAUUGUGGUCCAAUUACCUCUUAAGUACUUUAAAAAUCUUUAAUCAUGCAUAUUAACUAAUAAAAAAUUAAUAUCAAUUAAAAUUUUGCAAUUUUUACGAUUUAGUUAUUUUUUCUUAAUUAACUAUCUAAAUAUUAAAAUUACCUAACUAAAUUUUAAUAUGGCACUUUAGUAACCCUGUAAUUAUUAAAUAAAUGAUAAUUAUUGACUUACUGGUCGAAAUUAUGGUCCCAAAAUCAUUGUUUCUGACACCAUUAAAAACGGAUUGUUACACUCAAACUUUUGGUACAUGCCAUAUAUUGAAAUCAUAAGGGGACUAUACAAACAAUGUUGAGUCAAGAGUUGUGGAUUGGAUGCCGAAUCACUUCUCAGGUCUUCGAGAUCUGUUAAUACCUGCGCAUGGAAAUAAACAAACUGUACACUAAACGACAAAGUUAAGUGGUACUUUCAUUAUUUAAGUCAAUAAAACAAAAGCAUAUUCAUGUUAAUAUACAACCAAUACGUUUAAAUCUAAAAAUCAUCUCAUCACCACACAUCACCAUAAAAAUUAAUAUUUAACCAUUUUUUAGUCUCAAAUUACCAAAAUGCCCUUAGGAGCAAAAUUAUCAUUUUGCCCCAUCAUCUCGUAUUUUACUCGAUUAAGCUUGAAACUCUAAAAUAUGUCAAGAUGCAUUUUAAUGACCUCUCAAUAGUAUAAAAAUAAUUAAAUAUAUUACAAAUGAAUUCUCUCAUCGGAUAUAUGGAUAAUAUUAUCAUAACAGCCUCGUAUGAAAUACCAAAAAAUUUGGGCCAUUACAACUCCUUCGAGAGAAGUUUUCAAAGUGUCGUUCAUUGGUUGCUAACCAGUCUCCCAACAAUUGAAGAUAUAGUCCCUCAGGAGGUUAUCGCUUGUACUCGUGACUACAUAAUUAUUCUCAUGCCCUAUAUUAACACCUUCCCCUUGAGUCUUGUAGGUCCACCAACCAAGACACUCUCUACUUAGUGAACUAGGACCACCGGGCAGAUGCUCAUAGCACGUUGACUCUUGACAAAGUAUGAAAGACAAAACUCUUAUUAAGAGACAAUACCUUCAGUUGUUGGGGGAUUGGUCAGGUGCUCGAUAGAUGACAUUUUGUAUACUUCCCCCGAAGGAGUGGAUCCCCCUCAACGGCUCAUAACCCCUCAAACCCUUAAAUCAGAAGAAAAUACAGGAUUAAGUGCCCUUGAACCUACCUUUUCCUAAUUGUUACAAUAACUAUGAUGCCAAUUAAUUUAAGGCUUAAUCGACACUACAUAGAAAUCUUUUUUGAAAUGAUAUAAACCUACAUAUUAUUACAACUAAGUUUUUUUUUAAUAUACAAAUCUAAUUCGGCAAGUGAAAACAAUAAAAAAUCAAAUUUAUUUUUUUGUAUAAAAAUAAAAACAUCUAAUUGCUCAUGCAAUAAAAUUUGAAUGUUUAAUCCUUUAAAUUUAAAAUAUGUAAGGUAAAAGAAAAUUUUAAUUCAUUUCAAUUUUAAUAUUAAGUAAAUUGAUCUCUCUUAAAAAUUAGAACAAUUUACUCUUUAUCAUUUUGAAAGUGAGUGACUAAGGACAAUUAAUUAUAACAUCAAUAUUAUUUUAACAUCGGUAUAUAUUUUAUUGGUUUAAUAAAAAUUUAGCUAUCAAUAUUUAUAAUUUUUGUGUAAAAUAUAGAUAAAAAAAUAUAAAUAUUACGACUAAAUUUGUUAAAUUAAGACUCAAUUGUAAAAUUAAUUCUCAAUUUUAUAAACUGACCGGAUACCUGAAAUUUCAGUAAGCAUUAAAAUCAGAAAAGAAGAUUGAAAAUUAACAGAGAGCUUCUCAUGUAUAUACUGAUGGGCCCAAAAGACCAGAAUCAUUUCAUUUCUCUUCAAAUAGAAUCUGCAACCAGUAAUGAAUCAUACAAAUGUAAUGAAUCUACAGAGGAACUUACAAAAAGAACACCCCCUUUCCCCCUGAAAAAUGAUUAUGGAACAAGUAAAGAAAAGAAAGAAAAAGAAAAAAACAGUUCUUCACAUUACAAUUACAAAAGUAGUACAUGUUUCUUUCCUCCACACUACUGCCUUUCAUUCAUGUUCAAACUAACUCCGUUAAGAGAGGAUCACCUUCACCCAUUAUUCUGAUUAGCUUUAUAAAUUCCUGCUCGCUUGACACCUUCCAUGGAUGCACUGCAGGCGCGUGUGCGGAAUAAUGUGUCGAAGAAGAAUUAGCAGAUUGUGGUUCUGGCUUAUACACCAUUGUACUAAGCACUGAAUCGAAAUUCUGAGGUGAAUCCAUUGACAAAAAGAACAUGGGUAUGGAAACCUUUUGAUGGAUAUCUUGAUGUCCGACCAGAUUAACAAGAUCAACAAAGUCCGCUACAAACCGUUGAGGAAUGUAGAAUAUCUCGGAACUGCAAAUUGUGAGGCUCUGGUCACUCCUCACAACUUCUCUAUAGUUCAGUUGGAAGUGAACCGGCAUUGUACUAACUACCUUCCUUACCAGCUCCGCUUGCUUUGAGUACCAAUCAGAACUUCCUUUGGUUGAUGCAGUACUCCAAGACAUGGAUACCUAAAUGCCAUCAAAUGAAGAAGAAAAUAAGAGCAGUGACUUAGUAGUUACUCGUAAUGAACAAUUCCAUAUUUUAGGAACAUAAUAUGCCAAGCUUGUAAGACUAUUGCUAUUUGCAAAAUUAUUUUUAAACAAUCCAAAAUGUUUUCUUCAAAUAAAUGGCGAAAGAAAUCUACUGUCUAACAGCUAAGUACUAGAACAAUAUAAAUUCUUAAAAGAAAAUACAAAAGCUGAAGUACCGUAGGUAGAACAAAUAAUUAUUGGCAACAUUUUACAUAUGUAAAAGAACAAGUAAAGCACAAAUGCCAAGUGAAAAGGUAGAAUUUAGGUACCUUAUCCGUUAUCCAUAGCUUAGUCUUGUCUGCCUGUAAGAGAUUCCAGUAAUUAAGAACGGUAUCAUCUUCGAGGAAUAAAAAGCCAUCCGCACUUGAAAACCGAUCAAAUAUCUUGGGCAGAUGCCUACAAAAUAUGUUGAGAGACAAUUAGCAAACAUAAAACAGGCAUGACCUCACUUAACAGCUACGAUUUCCAUGGUUAACCAACCAUAAAUUGACCAUUUAACAACCAUUUGCUGCCUUUAGAAAGUCUUAAUUCAGAAGAAAGGAACAUACAAAACCUUAAUUGACUAAGUACCAAAUGUGAUAACCUGUCAAAAAUAUAGAAAAAAAACACACAAAAACAUGCAAUUAUUAUUGCAUUUAUAAUUCAUAAAACUCCAUUAAGAUUAUAAGGUAACUCUUCCCUUUUAGGGUUUGCUUAGUAGGGAGAAUCAAAACAAGAAGAAGACGAAUUCAUAAUCCGAGGUUAUGCUAUAAAAAAGUAAAAUAAUUAUGAAUCUUAGUGAAAAGGAUUUCACUGCACCCCUUCCUCCUGGCAAAGCUUAGCUCAAGGUAGAAGAGGGAGCCUCCGUAUGAUAUAUCAUGGGAAAGAAGAGGUAGUACUUUGAUUGAAAAACAGAGAUGCCACAACAAGAAAGGAACGGAUCCUUGACGAUGAUGAAGAAAUCAGGAAAGAGGGGCCAUUUAGAGAUUUUAAAAUGUCUGAAGGUACAGUCUGGAAUCAACAAAAACUAAUCACAAGGUAUAUCAAAUCCCGGUUUCAAAUACCAUGGUCAAUCUACUUCAUGCAAGAACUGUUUAAAGUACAACUUCGAUUCUUUAAGGCUAAUGGAAUGCCCUUUGCAAAAAGUAAGGUUAUGGAUCAAUUAUUUACAAUCAGGAGAGAGACUCAUUUAUUAUUCUAAAAUUCAACUAAAAUAAUUAUUAGAUACACAAGUUGCUUUAUACAACAAAUAUCAACCUCCACUUCCCAAUAUAUUACAAUCAUUAUUUGCUAGUCCCUCUGCAUUUACACCUCCAAUCUAUAAGAUAAUAUAAAGGAUCAAGAUUAACAUAAAUCAACGGGUUAAGAUCUUCAAUAUGAACAGGAAAAAAAAAACCAAGUAUAAAACGAAAUUAAGCAGUUUUCUAAAAGUCUUCAUCAACCUAAGCACAAUAUGAUAUCAUUUUCUUCAUCACCUCAUGCAUGUAAUAACUGCAAAUUAUUUUCUGUGCAAAGCACGUGAAAGAAGAUGAAGAGACUUUCAUUUUAGCUGUCCAUGGAUCAGUUGCUUUUACAAAAAUUUCAUAUUGGUUGCUCAUGGAUAAAGUAAUUUAUGAAAAUAUGAUGAACAGAAACUAAUAAUUGUUAUCUAUGAAUAAUAUCGCGGUUAAUGACUUAUGCCCAAAUUCAUUUUGUCCAAAGAUUUAAAGAACAAUUUAUCAGGACUUAUAUUGCAAAACCUCCCUGGCCAGGUACAGAUGAAAGAAAAUCAGGCAAAUAAUGGCUGGAAGCAAAAGCUAUCUAGUAAACCAGAAUAUCACUUUAGUCUACCAAAACAAUAUUCAAAAGCAAAGAAAGUAACAAAUUAAAAAUAUAUAUAUAUCAAUAUUCUAAGAAAGAUGCACCAUGGAAAGAUAAAUUGAUAGAUUAAAAGUAUCAUGUGAAGGGCAAGUGAUGAUUCUUGUGGCAACUUACUUGUAAAUUUGAUCUAAUUGACCUUCUUCAAUGGCAAGAUCCGAAUUCUUCUGCGCAGAAAAAAUAACCACAGUUUUAAAUAUCCGCCCGUAAAGCAGUCUCCACUCCAGGGCAGUACGUUCCACAGGACCAUUGCAGAACAUGAUUAACACGAUAUUUCCAAAAUUCUUCCUCCAUCGUAUCAAAUUCCCAAUCUCAGAGCUAACCAUCCCUGUUUCCUCCACUGCUAAAUGAACAGAUGGCAAUUUCUGAGGGUUAUAUUCUUUUCGAUCCCCAUGACCGAUAUUUGCCCUUGGUCUGUCCAGCUCCAAUGUCAUCAACCUUGGCUGCUGAUAACCUACGGCAACCAAGUCUUGAAGCCAAGCAGCAGUAAACUUGAGAUCCUGCUCCGUCCAAAACCCCUCCUCCGCCAUGGCAUAACUCAGUUCCAAUAUCUUCUCAAACAACCUAUGCUUGUUUGAUCUCCAUGACACCAAGAAUUUGAUCAAACGACCUACAUUCACAUGAAGAUCCUUCUCCUCUGAAAAGGGGUAUGCCUCAAUUCUGUCAUACCGAUGAACUGUAGGAGGAUACACAGCAACACUACCACCAAUCUCCCACAAGAGCCGCUGUCCCCAGUAACCCCUCAAUACAUCUGAAGCCAUUGUACUAACAGAAACAGGGAGCAUCAAGGCCCAAAAGGCCGAUGAAUGGUAUAACGUAUUGAACGAAUUCAAUGGCACCAUCAUACCUUGAGGAAAGGCCACUUUUGGUGCAUGCUCAUCAAACCUAAUAUCAAAGGCUUCGAAACCCGACUUCCUAGUAAAAUAAAACACGGAAUCAACAUCCGGUAACCCGUUUGAAAUCCCUUGCUGUAUGAACUGUUUCCCACCAAAGACCUCAGUGUAAAACUCCUCGUGUCCAAAGUCACCCACAUUUUCCAAUGGUAAUCCCCUAGGCCAAACUGAACGUUGGCCGAAAUGAAUAUAAGGGUUGACUACAGUCCUAUUAGGAUUAUCAUGGCUAUACUGCAAUAUAACUUCUUGCCUAGCCCCUUCCCCUACUAAUUCUACAUCAAAAUGUUUCCCUAGAUCAUUAUCAAUUACUUCCCCACGAUCAUCAGCAUCGAAGAUCUUUUUGGCACCAUGUUGAAUCGCAAACAAGUAACCGACGCUCUUUCUAACAUAAGAAUCGUAAGGCAAAUGAUCCACAACGCGAAAACCCAAAUUAGCUUGCAUAUCUAAAGACAAAAAAAUCGCACCUUUUAAGCUCCAAUCACUGGGAGUCCUGGAGUUCCCAAUUGCCAAAACUUGCCACCCUUUAAUCUUCACUAUCUUCUUCAAUGCAUCGGAGGGGUAAUUAGAAACGGAGACAACGACCCAUUGCUCUGAUCUGAAAUUAGCGUAAGGCGAAGUGCGGUCAGGAAUGGGUUUGAUGGAAUUCCAGUUGAUUUGAGGGAGAGAGAUGGAAUCCACGGCGCUCUGGGUUUCGGAUUGGAGGCAAAGGAGAAAAGCUGUGUUGGUGGAGGAGUAGAUGAAGAAAACGGCGGCGAUGGUGAGGAUUAGGACUAAGAUAGUUACGAUUCUAUAGCAGUUGUCGGGUACCCAUGCGUUGAAGUCGAGGUUUUUGGGUUCAGACAAUCUGUUGGGUUGAACAGUGGGAAGCUUUCUGAUCUGGGAAGGUUUUGGAGAUUUAGGAACUGCACGGUCUUGGACCAACAUUUGAUCUUUUCUUCUUAGAUUCUUCCAAACCUAAAUUCUUGCUAGAUCUUCACUUUUGC
This 18909-nucleotide long non-coding RNA is filed under the name Gossypium barbadense (sea-island cotton). RNAcentral describes it as "long non-coding RNA (GBAR_LNC019397)". The record is from RNAcentral. Lineage: Eukaryota; Viridiplantae; Streptophyta; Magnoliopsida; Malvales; Malvaceae.